Xiphophorus couchianus (Monterrey platyfish) is the source of this 1852-nucleotide long non-coding RNA. RefSeq lists it as uncharacterized. The transcript is spliced from 2 exons. The record is from RefSeq and is a predicted model, not a curated record. Lineage: Eukaryota; Metazoa; Chordata; Actinopteri; Cyprinodontiformes; Poeciliidae.
UUCAUAUCUGAGACCAAACUUUUUGGAGGAAGGUAUUUAAUCUCAAUAUUGACUGGAUGUCAUAAUGUUUUUCCUUAAGGAUAAUACCAAAAAUAUCCAUACCUUACCCUUUGCCUUUCAUACAGCUGCAAGUUUGUGUUAGCAAGACAUACAGAAGUUUCAGCAAUGGCCUUAUUCAUUUAUGUCAAUGACCUUCAUUUGUUCUUUACCUAAACACUUAACCGCUUUACAAGAAAUCUUUUUUUUUUGCCAAUCCACUGUGGGGAACAUCAGGUACUAAUGAAAUGCAAAACUGUCAUCCUACUGUGCAUAUGCUUGUUUGGUGUGAGUCUGUCUCUUGUGUGGGGCAUGGCUGGCAGAUCAUUUCUGCUCAAAAGGAAAAAGUAUGAGAAGCAACAUCAAAUCAUUUUGUACAUCUGAAGUGGUAAUGAGUAUCAAAUGCUGUUAGAUAUUAUUUUAUGCUCCAAGUUACUUAACCUUGUCUCUGUACUACAGAUCUUGAAUCUCCACAUCUCCCUCUAUUGAUCAAAUCCAUCCCUCACGGAUUUUUGUGCAAUUCUAUGGUAGCUGUUAGUGUCUAGAAUUCACAGGGUUUCCAUUACACGCAAUGACCCUCAGUCACUCGCCGUUUUUCUUCCUGCACGGGGUUCCAUACACCUCUUUCACGGAAUUUCGAGCAGGGACUCCGCAGUCCCUUAUGGAUUUUUGUGUGGGAAAAUACAUGCCAUCCAUAGCCGCGCUGCCGCAGUAGAAUAAUUCCAUUAAUUCAAUGAAACUUGAAAUGUAGGUAUUAUUAAUUUGUGCUGUGCUCCACAGCACAAAUUAAGGGGGAAAACCAUUCAAGUACAACUCAAAACCAUUUAUUUCUCGAUCUCUGCAUUGGCCAGGCUACAGACUCGUUGCCAUAGCAACUGACAACAACGCCCCUAAAAGAUACUGAAAUAUUUCCCACACAAAGAACAUAACAUUCUGUGAUGUUCACAUUGUACUGUUUUCUGUUUGAGCCAAUCCUAGUCACGCCCCUCAUUUCCGUUAUUCCUCGCGCCUGCGUUGCUUCCUGAUUGUCUCCUCCGAUCCAGAAGGUGGGGCCAUGCCACCCAUUAUCUGGUGGACUGGGAGGGUUAUGGGCCAGAGGAGCGCUCAUGGGUUCCGUCCCGCCACAUUGUGGACAAGACCCUCAUCAGGGAUUUCCAUCGUGAUCACCCCGACCAGCCUGGUGGUCCUUCAGGGGCCGGACCUUGAGGAGGGGGUACUGUGAUGUUCACAUUGUACUGUUUUCUGUUUGAGCCAAUCCUAGUCACGCCCCUCAUUUCCGUUAUUCCUCGCACCUGCGUUGCUUCCUGAUUGUCUCCCUUCUUAAGCCUCUCUCAGUCGCAACCACACUGCCAGAUUAUCGAACGCUUUCAGCAAGUAGUUUUCCAGCACUUUUACCUCGCCCUCAUAGCCACGACCACGCUUUGUUCCUCGGACCUGCCCCUUUUGCCUUGCCCUUGUCGGACUGUUACUACCGCCCUUCUGGAUCUCGACCCACGCCUGUUUCAGUUACACCGCUCUCGCCCACUCCCACGGAUUCUACCCUUAGCCCCGAUCGUGCAUGACCUCGGCCCGUCUGACUAAGGAUUCGGAUCUGGAUUUGGUUCUUCUGCUGCCUAACUAGUUUGUAUGCUGCCCUGCAUCAGCGCUUCCUUCCCCAGGCUCUUCCUGCCAAGCUCUGCGUCAGCGCAGCAUCCACGCUCCUCCUGGUUCCUCAGCCGAUCACUUCAGUUACUGAUCGCCAAGCCAGUGCUGCAGCGGACGAUCCUGCGUGCCCGGUUUAAGCUGCCUUUUAAUAAAUAUCAGAGUUUUCUGCUCA